UGGGGGAGUAGUUCAGGAUUUUGCCAUCUUGAAGCAAAGAGCACUGGCUUGGCAGGGACUCUGAGGCCCUUCUGUGCCUGGUAGAUGCCAGAAGAGACUUUGAGAAGUGGCCCUCAGCUCUCGAGGCCUCUUGACCCUAACUUUGCUUGCGUCCAUGUGGUGAACUCGCUUGCUCCAUGGAGGCAUGGCUGCCCGUUGAGUCGUGCUUUUCAAUCUCUCUUUAACAACAUCUCUGAAAAAGUGUAAUUUUUCACUGCAUGCUGUCAGAGGCGGCAAUCACAGUCUGUUAAACAAAAUAAUGAGAGGAAUAAAACACACAGAGACACAGGGCCAAGAAGUCCACGAAAAACAGAUCCCAGGGCUGUCUGGCCAAGAGGAGCUGGAGGGCUCUGUGGAACGUCUGCUCAGAAGUGUCACAGAAUUCAGUCCCGCAGGCCCAGGUCAGCCUGUGAAUGUCUCCACCACAGGCAUUUUGUUGUCUGUGGGAUAUUGUGCUGGCCUCACACCCUCACCUCCUGUGUCCCCGGCUCAGGCAGCACCCCACCCACCAGAAUCCCACUGCAGCCUCCCUCUGCCUGCAGCUGCUGGACAUCUGGUUACACCUGGCACAGCAGUGUGCCCUGGACCACACGCCCUUCCAGAGCCUUCUCCAUUGAGAGGGACUGUGCAGGCCUUGGUGAGGGUUGUGGUGAGCAGAGUGAGGCCAAGAGAUGCUGUAUUCACCUCCUACACCUGCUCGAACAAAGGGCGCCAGAGACCAGCUUAAACAGACACACACCUGUUCCUUCCAUCCUGGAGGCCAGAAGUCCAAGGUAAGGUGUAGCUGCACUGGUCCCUCCUUGGCACAUAGAUGCCAUGUUCUCCC
This 865-nucleotide long non-coding RNA is filed under the name Fukomys damarensis (Damara mole-rat). RNAcentral describes it as "lncRNA (ENSFDAG00000029481.1)". Lineage: Eukaryota; Metazoa; Chordata; Mammalia; Rodentia; Bathyergidae. The record is from RNAcentral.